AUUGAACGCUGGCGGCAUGCUUUACACAUGCAAGUCGAACGGUAACACGCCUUCUUGUACCUACGAGUGGGUGACGGGUGAGUAAUUCAUACGUCCGUGCCUAUCCUUUGGUGAUGGCUAAGCCGAAGCUAUCCGAAUUCAUCCUGUGUACUGAGUAUGAAAGCGGGGGACCGGGCAUCAAUGUUUGCCCUCUCGCCUUUGGCGCUGCCGAUGUCUGAUUAGGUAGUUGGUGGGGUAAAGGCCUACCAAGCCGACGAUCUGUAGCUGGUCUGAGAGGACGACCAGCCACACUGGGACUGAGACACGGCCCAGACUCCUACGGGAGGCAGCAGUGGGGAAUUUUGGACAAUGGGCGAAAGCCUGAUCCAGCAAUGCCGCGUGUGUGAAGAAGGCCUUCGGGUUGUAAAGCGCUUUUGUACGGAAAGAAAAGGCUCGGGCUAAUACGGGCGGGGGAUGACGGUACCGGAAGAAUAAGCACCGGCUAACUACGUG
RNAcentral lists this ribosomal RNA (492 nucleotides) under uncultured bacterium. RNAcentral describes it as "partial 16S ribosomal RNA". It matches the Rfam family "Bacterial small subunit ribosomal RNA", at positions 30 to 507 of the family's 1533-position model. The record is from RNAcentral.